ACUGGACCCGGUGAAAAUCCGGGUGGCUCUUCCGGCCGCCGAUCCGCCGGACAACG
This 56-nucleotide non-coding RNA is filed under the name Faunimonas pinastri. Its description in RNAcentral is "sul1 RNA". It matches the Rfam family "sul1 RNA". Lineage: Bacteria; Pseudomonadati; Pseudomonadota; Alphaproteobacteria; Hyphomicrobiales; Afifellaceae. The record is from Rfam by way of RNAcentral.